RNAcentral lists this ribosomal RNA (513 nucleotides) under uncultured bacterium. RNAcentral describes it as "bacterial SSU rRNA". It matches the Rfam family "Bacterial small subunit ribosomal RNA", at positions 18 to 518 of the family's 1533-position model. The record is from RNAcentral.
CCUGGCUCAGGACGAACGCUGGCGGCGUGCCUAACACAUGCAAGUCGAGCGGGGACAUACGACGGAGUCAAAGUUUCGGAUGGAGACAAAGAUGUAUGUUCUAGCGGCGGACGGGUGAGUAACGCGUGAGCAACCUGUCCCUUACAGGGGAUAACACAGCGAAAGUUGUACUAAUACCGCAUGAGACCACGGGGAGACAUCUUCCAGGGGUCAAAGGAAGCAAUUCCGGUAAGGGGUGGGCUCGCGUCCGAUUAGAUAGUUGGUGAGGUAACGGCCCACCAAGUCGACGAUCGGUAGCCGACCUGAGAGGGUGAUCGGCCACAUUGGGACUGAGACACGGCCCAAACUCCUACGGGAGGCAGCAGUGGGGAAUAUUGGGCAAUGGGGGGAACCCUGACCCAGCAACGCCGCGUGAGGGAAGAAGGUUUUCGGAUCGUAAACCUCUGUCCUUGGUGAAGAGGAAGAGACGGUAGCCAAGGAGGAAGCCCCGGCUAACUACGUGCCAGCAGCCGC